UACGUAGGGCGCAAGCGUUGUCCGGAAUUAUUGGGCGUAAAGAGCUCGUAGGCGGCCUGUCGCGUCGGCUGUGAAAACCCGGGGCUCAACCCCGGGCCUGCAGUCGAUACGGGCAGGCUAGAGUCCGGCAGGGGAGACUGGAAUUCCUGGUGUAGCGGUGAAAUGCGCAGAUAUCAGGAGGAACACCGGUGGCGAAGGCGGGUCUCUGGGCCGGAACUGACGCUGAGGAGCGAAAGCGUGGGGAGCGAACAGG
This 253-nucleotide ribosomal RNA is filed under the name uncultured bacterium. RNAcentral's name for it is "partial 16S ribosomal RNA". It matches the Rfam family "Bacterial small subunit ribosomal RNA", at positions 524 to 776 of the family's 1533-position model. The record is from RNAcentral.